AAAAAUCUGUACUCUUUGGUUGUUAAAUGAAUUAUUUGAAUUAUUUCUGUAUUUCAAGUAAAUAAAAUUAUGCAUAUGUAUAUGUGAAUGGGUAUACAUAUUUAAACAUACCAGGUUUUCCCCCAUAAUUAGUGCAUGCUUUAUAAACUUGUAGCUAUAAGAUAAUUUUUAACAUCAUGACUUUCAAUUGUAGGCAGUUGAGUGUGCAAAAUAUGAUUCAGUGGGGACUCAAGCGCAACCACACAAAAUCCAAGUGAGGAUGUGAUUGCAGUGUGGGAGACAACUCUACAUUUCCAAACCAUGUAGAGGAAUGUGGAAGUGCUCAGACGAAUGUAUUCUCCCAUGAAGAUAAAAGUGAAUUGGACUAGCAUGUCAUUGGCCUGGAAUUUUCAUGGCUCUUACCUGCUUCCCCAUUAAAUGAGUACUAGGAGUUGGUGGACAAAUUGAAUCUUUAGGGCUUCUGCUGUGCUGCAGUGGUUCAGCCGGAGAAGCAAAAACUUGUAAGUUCAUAUAUUUGUUGGCAAAUUCAGUUCCUUAUGACAUGUUGCUAAACAUCAAAACUGAAGCAUUUCUGUGUAAGUUGUUUUUGUUUUUGCACCUGUUAAGCAUUAAUAAAUUAUAUAGUAAAGUGACUGGC
This 637-nucleotide long non-coding RNA is filed under the name Vulpes vulpes (red fox). RNAcentral's name for it is "lncRNA (ENSVVUG00000030168.1)". Lineage: Eukaryota; Metazoa; Chordata; Mammalia; Carnivora; Canidae. The record is from RNAcentral.